UACAGAGGUCUCAAGCGUUGUUCGGAUUCAUUGGGCGUAAAGGGUGCGUAGGUGGCGCUGUAAGUCAGGUGUGAAAUUUCGGAGCUUAACUCCGAAACUGCAUUUGAUACUGCGGUGCUUGAGGACUGGAGAGGAGACUGGAAUUCACGGUGUAGCAGUGAAAUGCGUAGAGAUCGGAAGGAACACCAGAGGCGAAAGCGGCAUGCUGGGGCUAUUCUGACACUGAGGCACGAAAGCCAGGGGAGCGAACGGG
RNAcentral lists this ribosomal RNA (253 nucleotides) under uncultured bacterium. RNAcentral describes it as "partial 16S ribosomal RNA". It matches the Rfam family "Bacterial small subunit ribosomal RNA", at positions 524 to 776 of the family's 1533-position model. The record is from RNAcentral.